This 449-nucleotide ribosomal RNA is filed under the name uncultured bacterium. Its description in RNAcentral is "partial 16S ribosomal RNA". It matches the Rfam family "Bacterial small subunit ribosomal RNA", at positions 29 to 523 of the family's 1533-position model. The record is from RNAcentral.
AACGAACGCUGGCGGCAUGCCUAACACAUGCAAGUCGAACGAGAUCUUCGGGUCUAGUGGCGCACGGGUGCGUAACGCGUGGGAAUCUGCCCUUUGGUUCGGAAUAACAGUUGGAAACGACUGCUAAUACCGGAUGAUGACGGAAGUCCAAAGAUUUAUCGCCAGAGGAUGAGCCCGCGUAGGAUUAGCUAGUUGGUGUGGUAAAGGCGCACCAAGGCGACGAUCCUUAGCUGGUCUGAGAGGAUGAUCAGCCACACUGGGACUGAGACACGGCCCAGACUCCUACGGGAGGAAGCAGUGGGGAAUAUUGGACAAUGGGCGAAAGCCUGAUCCAGCAAUGCCGCGUGAGUGAUGAAGGCCUUAGGGUUGUAAAGCUCUUUUACCCGGGAUGAUAAUGACAGUACCGGGAGAAUAAGCUCCGGCUAACUCCGUGCCAGCAGCCGCCGUAA